RNAcentral lists this long non-coding RNA (866 nucleotides) under Equus caballus (horse). RNAcentral describes it as "lncRNA (ENSECAG00000059327.1)". The record is from RNAcentral. Lineage: Eukaryota; Metazoa; Chordata; Mammalia; Perissodactyla; Equidae.
UGAAAACCUUGUGGGCCGAUCCGGGUGCUUGCACCCGCUCAUGUCACAAAGAGCCAGCAGUGAGCAUGCAAUGCGGAGCAAUGUUACCAGGCUAACACUUCAGAAAGAGCACUUUGGCUAAGGAGUGGAUGGCUUGGAGGGAACAAGAAGGGGUCAAAGAGACCAAGUAGAAGCCUGUUGCAGGGUCAACAUGAGUGCAGAAGGAUCAGGGACACACAGAAAGGAACAACUUUAACAUACCAGUUAGGCAGCUGAAUUGAUUGGCUGUGGGAUGUGAGGGAAGACGGAGUCCAGAAGGACCCCACUUUGCUGGCCUGGAGCAGGAGCAGGUAGUCAUUACCUGGGACAAGGAGCACGGGGAGAAGCAAGUGUGGAGGGCCAGCAUGCAUUUGGAUGGGAGAAGGAGUAAAGAUAUGGCAUGCUAGCUGGCAUUCUCUAGAGAAGCAGAACCAGCAGAGUGAAAAUGUGAACGACUCAACAGAGACGCACAAGAGGGGAGCAUCGUGGAGAAGGUAGUGGCAAUGCCAAGGACAGGUGCCAGAGGCAGGAGACCGGGUCCGGAGCUCAGGUCUGUCGGUAACCAGCUGUGUGACAUUGGCAGGAAAGUAGAGGAUCCCAAGGAGGGAUUCCAGCACCUCCUCGGUCCCUUAUUUCUUCUCAGAUAUGACACUCUGUCUUUUUGUUGGGAAGUCAUUUCUAAGAACACCUGUCGGCAGUUAGAAAAGAACGACGCUGUCAGGAUGUGGUGGAGCGUCUGGACGAAAACAGGAGCUUGCGAUUGUGGGUUGGGGGCGGCCACGCUGACUGCAAACCCGCGCAGAGCCCGUCACUGAGCAUCAUGUUGCCAACACGAAGGAAGGACAGAG